RNAcentral lists this long non-coding RNA (289 nucleotides) under Gossypium raimondii (Peruvian cotton). RNAcentral describes it as "long non-coding RNA (GRAI_LNC001338)". Lineage: Eukaryota; Viridiplantae; Streptophyta; Magnoliopsida; Malvales; Malvaceae. The record is from RNAcentral.
GGUGGGGAGGCGUGACGGCGGCGGCGACUGGGCCUGGAACCCAAGUAGAAAAAUGGAGACCUUCCUUUUAUUUUUUUGUGUUUUUGCAAGAGAAUGAAACUGCAGAAAGUUUUUUUUUUUUUUAGCUUUUAAGGUAAUUAAAUUGGUGCCGUUUGAAGGAGUGGGACCUAAUCCUACGGUGCAUUCAAUGGCCCCUUUUGCUUCUUUUUAAUUUUAGCCACCUAUUUUUUCGCUUGUUCCAAUCUGGUCUCGCGCAAAUCAAUGCGCAUAUGGGACGGGGAAUAUUGCG